CCUAAACAGCUGAUGUCAGACGAAGCUGUAACCCAAAGACCAAAGAUCAGUCUGAAUUGGCCUUCGUGGAGUCUCAAGCCAAUAAGAAAGGAACAUGUGAUGGAUUAGUGGCGCAGCUGCAGUGUUGGUCAUUAAAGUAAACAGCACUUAAGAUAACUUAGGGUCCAAAGUCCUCUGGAGAAGAAUCAUUGAGUGUUUGGAGAAGAAGGAAGUGUGAUUCCAUGGGGAACAGCAGCUUCACCACAAUACUCCCUUGCUAUGGACUCCAGCCAGAGACUGUGGGCUUAUGCAAACAGUGACUUGAACAACUGGCAAAGUAGGCAACCAUUCGAAGUUUAAACACUUGCCAAUGGAAGACUACUAUUUUUAUCUCUCGCUUCAAAUGGCACUGAACAAACUAGAAUGAAACCAGAGAAGAACUGAGGGUGUUC
Ochotona princeps (American pika) is the source of this 431-nucleotide long non-coding RNA. RefSeq lists it as uncharacterized. The transcript has 3 exons. Lineage: Eukaryota; Metazoa; Chordata; Mammalia; Lagomorpha; Ochotonidae. The record is from RefSeq and is a predicted model, not a curated record.